AUUGAACGCUGGCGGCAGGCCUAACACAUGCAAGUCGAGCGGAGCGGCGGACGGGUGAGUAAUGCCUAGGAAUCUGCCUGGUAGUGGGGGAUAACGUCCGGAAACGGGCGCUAAUACCGCAUACUAUCAGAUGAGCCUAGGUCGGAUUAGCUAGUUGGUGGGGUAAAGGCCUACCAAGGCGACGAUCCGUAACUGGUCUGAGAGGAUGAUCAGUCACACUGGAACUGAGACACGGUCCAGACUCCUACGUGAUGCAGCAGUUGGGAAUAUUGGUCAAGUGGAGAAAGCCUGACCCAGCCAUGCCGCUUGUGUGAAGAAGGUCUUCGGAUUGUAAAGCACUUUAAGUUGGGAGGCGUUACCAACAGAAUGUGCACCGGAUAACUUCGUGCCAGCAGCCGCGGUAAUUC
RNAcentral lists this ribosomal RNA (407 nucleotides) under uncultured bacterium. RNAcentral describes it as "partial 16S ribosomal RNA". It matches the Rfam family "Bacterial small subunit ribosomal RNA", at positions 30 to 526 of the family's 1533-position model. The record is from RNAcentral.